GCCGGGAUGGCGGAACUGGUAGACGCUGGGGACUUAAAAUCCCCCGAAGCAUAGCUUUGUGCGGGUUCGAUUCCCGCUCCCGGCACCA
RNAcentral lists this transfer RNA (88 nucleotides) under Nitrospirota bacterium. Its description in RNAcentral is "Nitrospirae bacterium (marine sediment metagenome) tRNA-Leu". It matches the Rfam family "tRNA". Rfam says of the family: Transfer RNA (tRNA) molecules are approximately 80 nucleotides in length. Their secondary structure includes four short double-helical elements and three loops (D, anti-codon, and T loops). RNAcentral also lists the same sequence under 1 other name. The record is from RNAcentral. Lineage: Bacteria; Pseudomonadati; Nitrospirota.